UACAUUUUAGUAUAUGGUGUAUAGAAAUUUUUGAUAUUUCUGGAAGUAGUUUAAUUCUAUUAAAUGUAA
RNAcentral lists this transfer RNA (69 nucleotides) under Omus cazieri. RNAcentral's name for it is "tRNA-Gln". Lineage: Eukaryota; Metazoa; Arthropoda; Insecta; Coleoptera; Carabidae. The record is from RNAcentral.